UGGGGAAUAUUGCACAAUGGGCGCAAGCCUGAUGCAGCAACGCCGCGUGAGGGACGACGGCCUUCGGGUUGUAAACCUCUUUUGGCAGGGAAGAAGCGAAAGUGACGGUACCUGCAGAAAAAGCACCGGCUAACUACGUGCCAGCAGCCGCGGUGAUACGUAGGGUGCAAGCGUUGUCCGGAUUUACUGGGUGUAAAGGGCGCGCAGGCGGGAUAAAAAGUCAGUGGUGAAAUCCUACAGCUUAACUGUAGAACUGCCUUUGAUACUUUUAUUCUUGAGUUCGGGAGAGAGAGACGGAAUUCCAGGUGUAGUGGUGAAAUACGUAGAUAUCUGGAAGAACACCAGUUGCGAAGGCGGUCUCUUGGUCCGACACUGACGCUGAGGCGCGAAAGCGUGGGGAGCAAACA
This 407-nucleotide ribosomal RNA is filed under the name uncultured bacterium. Its description in RNAcentral is "bacterial SSU rRNA". It matches the Rfam family "Bacterial small subunit ribosomal RNA", at positions 355 to 774 of the family's 1533-position model. The record is from RNAcentral.